UCAGAAAAUUUUUGUUGAGUGAGAAAGCCCUCACUCGAGAAGGUGGAAGAGGGACAAAUGGAGAGGACCGAGUUUUCAAUCCUGUUUAUGCUGGGCUUGUGGGUGGCCACAGAGUUGAGAGCUGGAAGUCCAACCAAGAGAGCAGAUCAGGAAAGACCCAAGAAACAUCCCAGUUGGUCUCCUUCUCUCAUGCUUUGACCUGCUCAUGACUGCAUUAAAUCUACUCGCUGGCCCAUGAGGCCUCAGUGAAAACUCCUGUUUUUCUUCCAAAGCUGGGAUAUAAGCCCACUUAUUACCCUCCACUUAGCUGGCUUUCCACUGUCCCUUCCUAAUUUUCUCAGUUUGGGGAUGGAAAGACUGCCCUGGGCUCUGUAGAGAGCAGGUCUGCAUCUUAGGCCUGCUCAGGCCCAACUCUGGUCCUUACACAAGUCACUUCCUCUGAGACUCAGUUUCCUCUUGAACGAGACAGAAAUAAUGAUGUAGGCCAUACCCACUCACCUCAUGGGCUGUGGAGAGGACUGAAUAAUUGAUGGUAAAGUGCUUCACACACUGUAAAACCCUCUGCACAUGCGUGUUGGCAUUAGACAGAAGGAGUCACAUCUACUCCAUCCAGUGGUAGAUUUUGCCUGUGAGCUUGUUGCUGCUCAUCUUCAGGUAGAGGGGCUCCAUUUUAACUGGUCCAGGAGAAAAGCCCUUUUCCAGUUGGUCUCUGUGUACGAGUUUAAUCUUAAUUAUGAGGACCAGCCACUGCGGGGCACGACUUGAUUUUCCAUCUCCACAUGGAGCAUCAGAACUCAAGAGUUCUUUAAAAAGGAAACUAUUAACACCAUUUGGUAGAUGGAGUGUGCAUAUGGAUUUGAGGCAUUUGGCCAAAACUUAUAUUUUUCUCUGAGGCCUUAGAAGCUUCUUCUGAGGACACUGGAAACGCUAUGUCUUAAAGCUUGAAGCUUCCUCAGGGCACUUCACAAAUGCUUUGGUAUUUUGCAUUAUAUUCUUAUAGCAAAUAAAAUAUUUCAGAGACAUUAAUUGAAUAUAUGUAGUUUUGAGCACACCUUGGCUCUUUCCAGCAUCAAGUGGCUCUGUCCUCACACUGCCUCUCCCUCACCACAUGUACUCGGACCGCAAAUCACAGUCGAGGCCCCACCCCUCUCUCCCGUCAGCAAGGGUGACCCAGCGGUCAUGAGCACACCAGCAGAGGGAGGAUGGUGUGGGAGGCAGCCUUCUGGAGGGCCCUCAAUGAUCCCCACAUCCUGGUAUUCUCACCCUUGGGUGAUCCUCACUUCUAAUGAAUAGAAUAUGGCAGAAGCAGUGGGGUAUCAUUUCCAAGAUUAGGUUAUAAAAAGACUGUGGUUUCCAUCCUGGGUACCUGAGCAGCCUCUCUCUCUCUCUCUCGCUCUCUCUCUCGGAUAACUCACAUCAAAAGCAGCCCAAUGAAGAGGACCACAUGGCCUUAAUGAGAAUAUUUGGGCAUUCUCACAACUGUGAAGUUUCCUUCCUCUCUCCACAUCAAAUCCAGCUUCUGUGACAUUGCUCCUGAGAAACAGAACGAGAGAACAGCAGAAAACACAUGGGCUGGUUAUCCAGGAAAGCUUGUGCUCUCUCUGCAGUUCCUCAUUUAUUGGAUUAUGCGUAAGACCAGGCUGAGCUAUCAGGAUAGAUUUCUCUUGGAGAUGUAGAAUGGACCCUCGUAGUGGUGAUGUUCCAAAACAUUAACUGAUUUGAUCACGUCACUCCUCAAUAAUCGUCAGUGGUCCCAAGUGACCUACUAAAUAAAGUCCAGAUUUUGUAGUUUGGAAUUCAAUGACCUGCACAAAAUCAUGAGAGGCAAUACAGCAGACUGGCCUUUGGUGUCAGUCCCAGCUGAGCUUGAAACUCUGCUGACCAUGGGUAAAUCACUGAACCUUUCUGACCCCAUUUGGACAAUAAGGGCACCUUUCUUGUCAAGCUCAUGGUUAAAUGAGAGAUUGGAUGGAAU
Molecule: long non-coding RNA, 1975 nt
Filed under: Equus asinus (donkey)
Lineage: Eukaryota; Metazoa; Chordata; Mammalia; Perissodactyla; Equidae
Description: lncRNA (ENSEASG00005037982.1)
Source: RNAcentral